Molecule: transfer-messenger RNA, 363 nt
Filed under: Escherichia coli
Lineage: Bacteria; Pseudomonadati; Pseudomonadota; Gammaproteobacteria; Enterobacterales; Enterobacteriaceae
Also listed under: 1 other name
Rfam family: transfer-messenger RNA
About the family: Bacterial tmRNA, also known as 10Sa RNA or SsrA, is named for its dual tRNA and mRNA-like properties.
Source: RNAcentral
GGGGCUGAUUCUGGAUUCGACGGGAUUUGCUAAACCCAAGGUGCAUGCCGAGGGGCGGUUGGCCUCGUAAAAAGCCGCAAAAAAUAGUCGCAAACGACGAAAACUACGCUUUAGCAGCUUAAUAACCUGCUUAGAGCCCUCUCUCCCUAGCCUCCGCUCUUAGGACGGGGAUCAAGAGAGGUCAAACCCAAAAGAGAUCGCGUGGAAGCCCUGCCUGGGGUUGAAGCGUUAAAACUUAAUCAGGCUAGUUUGUUAGUGGCGUGUCCGUCCGCAGCUGGCAAGCGAAUGUAAAGACUGACUAAGCAUGUAGUACCGAGGAUGUAGGAAUUUCGGACGCGGGUUCAACUCCCGCCAGCUCCACCA